This 1110-nucleotide ribosomal RNA is filed under the name Bacillus sp. (in: firmicutes). RNAcentral describes it as "bacterial SSU rRNA". It matches the Rfam family "Bacterial small subunit ribosomal RNA", at positions 59 to 1151 of the family's 1533-position model. Lineage: Bacteria; Bacillati; Bacillota; Bacilli; Caryophanales; Bacillaceae. The record is from RNAcentral.
CAGUCGAGCGGACAGAUGGGAGCUUGCUCCCUGAUGUUAGCGGCGGACGGGUGAGUAACACGUGGGUAACCUGCCUGUAAGACUGGGAUAACUCCGGGAAACCGGGGCUAAUACCGGAUGGUUGUUUGAACCGCAUGGUUCAAACAUAAAAGGUGGCUUCGGCUACCACUUACAGAUGGACCCGCGGCGCAAUAGCUAGUUGGUGAGGUAACGGCUCACCAAGGCGACGAUGCGUAGCCAACCUGAGAGGGUGAUCGGCCACACUGGGACUGAGACACGGCCCAGACUCCUACGGGAGGCAGCAGUAGGGAAUCUUCCGCAAUGGACGAAAGUCUGACGGAGCAACGCCGCGUGAGUGAUGAAGGUUUUCGGAUCGUAAAGCUCUGUUGUUAGGGAAGAACAAGUACCGUUCGAAUAGGGCGGUACCUUGACGGUACCUAACCAGAAAGCCACGGCUAACUACGUGCCAGCAGCCGCGGUAAUACGUAGGUGGCAAGCGUUGUCCGGAAUUAUUGGGCGUAAAGGGCUCGCAGGCGGUUUCUUAAGUCUGAUGUGAAAGCCCCCGGCUCAACCGGGGAGGGUCAUUGGAAACUGGGGAACUUGAGUGCAGAAGAGGAGAGUGGAAUUCCACGUGUAGCGGUGAAAUGCGUAGAGAUGUGGAGGAACACCAGUGGCGAAGGCGACUCUCCUGGUCUGUAACUGACGCUGAGGAGCGAAAGCGUGGGGAGCGAACAGGAUUAGAUACCCUGGUAGUCCACGCCGUAAACGAUGAGUGCUAAGUGUUAGGGGGUUUCCGCCCCUUAGUGCUGCAGCUAACGCAUUAAGCACUCCGCCUGGGGAGUACGGUCGCAAGACUGAAACUCAAAGGAAUUGACGGGGGCCCGCACAAGCGGUGGAGCAUGUGGUUUAAUUCGAAGCAACGCGAAGAACCUUACCAGGUCUUGACAUCCUCUGACAAUCCUAGAGAUAGGACGUCCCCUUCGGGGGCAGAGUGACAGGUGGUGCAUGGUUGUCGUCAGCUCGUGUCGUGAGAUGUUGGGUUAAGUCCCGCAACGAGCGCAACCCUUGAUUUUAGUUGCCAGCAUUCAGUUGGGCACUUUAAGGUGACUG